UACGUAGGCAGCGAGCGUUGUUCGGAGUUACUGGGCGUAAAGAGUGCGUAGGCGGCGAGCUAAGUCUGGUGUGAAAUCUCCCGGCUCAACUGGGAGGGUGCGCCGGAAACUGGGUUGCUUGAGUGUGGGAGAGGCUAGCGGAAUUCCUGGUGUAGCGGUGAAAUGCGUAGAGAUCAGGAGGAACACCUGCGGUGAAGACGGCUGGCUGGACCACGACUGACGCUGAGGCACGAAAGCGUGGGGAGCAAACAGG
Molecule: ribosomal RNA, 253 nt
Filed under: uncultured bacterium
Lineage: Bacteria
Description: partial 16S ribosomal RNA
Rfam family: Bacterial small subunit ribosomal RNA
Source: RNAcentral